AUUGAACGCUGGCGGCAGGCUUAACACAUGCAAGUCGAGCGGGGUGAUGGUGCUUGCACUAUCACUUAGCGGCGGACGGGUGAGUAAUGCUUAGGUAUCUGCCUAUUAGUGGGGGACAACAUAUCGCAAGGGAUGCUAAUACCGCAUACGUCCUACGAGAGAAAGCAGGGGAUCACAUGUGACAGUGCGCUAAUAGAUGAGCCUAAGUGGGAUUAGCUAGUUGGUGGGGUAAAGGCCUACCAAGGCGACGAGCUGUAGCGGGUCGGAGAGGUUGAUCCGCCACACGGGGACUGAGACACGGCCCAGACUCCUACGGGAGGAAGCAGUGGGGAAUAUUGGACAAUGGGGGAACCCUGAUGCAGCCAUGCCGCGUGUGUGAAGAAGGCCUUAUGGUUGUAAAGCACUUUAAGCGAGGAGGAGGCUCUUUUGGUUAAUACCCAAGAUGAGUGGACGUUACUCGCAGAAUAAGCACCGGCUAACUCUGUGCCAGCAGCCGCGGUAA
This 502-nucleotide ribosomal RNA is filed under the name uncultured bacterium. RNAcentral describes it as "partial 16S ribosomal RNA". It matches the Rfam family "Bacterial small subunit ribosomal RNA", at positions 30 to 523 of the family's 1533-position model. The record is from RNAcentral.